Tyto alba (common barn owl) is the source of this 1006-nucleotide RNA transcript. RefSeq lists it as uncharacterized. Lineage: Eukaryota; Metazoa; Chordata; Aves; Strigiformes; Tytonidae. The record is from RefSeq and is a predicted model, not a curated record. The transcript is spliced from 2 exons.
AGGAGGGCGAGGAGACGGCCGAGGAGCGGGGCGAGGAAAAUGUCGAGGAGACUGAGGAGCAGGGCAAGGAGAACGUCGAGGAGACGGCUGAGAAGGGCAGGAGAUGGCUGAGGAGAAUGUGGAGGAGCAGGGCAAGGAGAACGUCGAGGAGACGGCUGAGAAGGGCAGGAGAUGGCUGAGGAGAAUGUGGAGGAGAAGGCAGAGUCAGGAGAAGGCUGAGGAGAUGGCUGAGGAGAAUGGAGGAGCAGGGCAAGGAGAAUGUCGAGGAGACGGCUGAGGAAAAUGUGGAGGAGAAGGCUGAGAAGGGCGGGAGAAGGCUGAGGAGAUGGCUGAGGAGAUGGCUGAGGAGAAUGCUGAGGAGAUGGCUGAGGAGAACGUGGAGGAGCAGGGCAAGGAGAAUGUCGAGGAGAUGGCUGAGGAGCAGGGCGAGAUGCAGGCCAAGCCAGUGUCCGGCGGGAGCCAGCUGCGGGAGCGCGCCCGGCUCGUGUCACCGGGAGCAGCCUGCAGCCCUCGCAGGGGCCUGGGCACCGCGGCCAGCCCUGCGGCCACCCUGGCACAGCCAGCGCUCCGGGCACGCGGCCGGGGCUGGGCGCUGGCCAACGGCCCGCAACGAGGGAACGUCUUGGUGACGUCCCAGGAGCUGCAAACAGCACGCCGGGAGAUGCCGGGGAGGAUGGUCCACGCCCCGAGCGGUUACCGGGGCUGUGCCGGUGCCGUGUGCCGCCCCUGCCCCAGCGCAUCGCUCCACGGCCUCUCCCGGGGGUGCCGUGGCACGGCUGGGGCUCUCGGGGAGCGGCCCGUGGCGUGCCACGAGAUGGCACUGCUACGGCACGCUCCACGCAGCCGGGAUGUCCCCGGGGCUGCAGUGACAUCCCUGGGCUGCAGGGACACGCACACAGGAAUUUUCACCCUCCUGGCCAAACCAAGAGUGUUAACUGCGAUGGUCCCAACUUGUGUAAACGAGGCCUGCAAAGGGGAGUCUUUCUGACUAGCUGCUUUCUGCCCA